Molecule: small RNA, 573 nt
Filed under: Pan troglodytes (chimpanzee)
Lineage: Eukaryota; Metazoa; Chordata; Mammalia; Primates; Hominidae
Description: retained intron
Source: RNAcentral
AUUCAGAUGAUUCGAUCUGCCUGACAGUAGUCGGGGAGCAAAGCCAGUGCGCCUGGCCUCACUAUUAAUCACAAGACAUUUUGUUAAUGAGCAAGGUUUUUUCGUUGCAAGAGGCAAUUUUGUUAGGAAACGAAAAUGAAGCCACUCUUAUCCCCAGAAUGCAUGAAGCGCCCAAGCCUUGGGGGCUUUUUGGCUUGUGAACCACUGAAAGUGAGCCUUUGGCACUGACUCUACUCUUUCCCUUCACACUUUUUUCCUACCCCUCCAUAGAAAGCCAAAUUCAACUGGGACCCGGAAACCGUGGGGAUGAUCCACGGUUCCUUCUUUUGGGGCUACAUCAUCACUCAGAUUCCGGGAGGCUACAUCGCGUCUCGGCUGGCAGCCAACAGGGUUUUCGGAGCUGCCAUACUUCUUACCUCUACCCUAAAUAUGCUAAUUCCAUCAGCAGCCAGAGUGCAUUAUGGAUGUGUCAUCUUUGUCAGAAUACUGCAGGGACUUGUUGAGGGUGUGACCUACCCAGCAUGUCAUGGGAUAUGGAGCAAAUGGGCCCCACCUCUAGAGAGGAGUAGACUG